GACACAACCGGCCCUUAGAAACUAGCUAGGAAGUGAAAGGCUGAAACCUACAUGGCUUCACUAUAUAAGUACACUACAUAGGGUAAGAAAUAAUAGCCUCUAUAAUUCAACUGAACCAUUUUUUGGGAUUCAGGCAAAAGACACAUUCUCAUACUCUUUCCUUACUUCACAUGGUAGAGUGGGUUGUCCACUAAUCGUAGGGUUGGCGGUUCGAUUCCCGACCCACUUCACUCCACAUGCUGAAGUGUCCUUGGGCAAGCUAGUGCCUUGCAUGGCAGCUCUGCUACCAUUGGUGUGUGAGUGUGUGAAUGGGGUUGCGGGGAACCUAGAGCCUAUCUCAGAGAGCAUGGGGCACAAGGCGGGGUACACCCUGGACGAGGUGCCAAUUGUCAUAAUGUCAUAUUUGUCAUAAUUUUGUAAUGCAGUUUUAUUAAUAUUAUUUAUAAUUGUAUAAUUUCAUCCUCGUCCAAUCUUGGACAUAAUAGAUUUUGGAAAUUUAUUUAUAAAUAUUGUCACAAUUUGUGAAGUUUGACAUUAUGUAAGAAAUAAGCAUUACUAUUGAAUAACAAAUACCAUUUCCCAACAGAGUCACAUAUAAAGUGAUGUUCUGCAAAUACAUGCAGAUAUUUACUUUGAGGCGAAAAGACAAAUGCUUACAUACAAUGCUCAAUUAUUGACAGCAACAUUAAAGCAUAUCAAUAAUUUCAGUCAUCAGUUGUUUUUUUUUUUGUUGUUUUUUGUUUGUUUGUUUGUUUGUUGUUGUUUUUUUAAGAAAGAGGGAAAGAGAUCCUUGACCAGAUCUGACAUUAGUAACAGUGGGAAUGGAGCACUACAUGUGCUGUAUAAAUUUAGGCGGUGAUGGCAUUAUACAAGUAUGACACAGGUACAAGUAAAUCUGAAACCUUUACUCUACGAGCAUUCUGGUAUAGAUAAUGAAGUCACACAAAAGUUGCAGUCUUAGAUUAUGGUACAAGUCUUUUAAAACAACCUACACACUAUGUAGCCAAAGGUAUGUGGACACCUGUCCUUCACACCCACACAUGGGCCUUUCUCAACCUGUUGACACAAAGUUGAAGACACACAAUUGUUUAGGCUGUCUCUGUAUGCUGUAGCAUUACAAUUUCCCUUCAUUGAAACUAAGAUUUCCAGUUCCAGUAUGACAAUGCCCCUGUACUCAAAGUGAGGUCCAU
Long non-coding RNA from Ictalurus furcatus (blue catfish), 1190 nucleotides. RefSeq lists it as uncharacterized. The record is from RefSeq and is a predicted model, not a curated record. The transcript has 3 exons. Lineage: Eukaryota; Metazoa; Chordata; Actinopteri; Siluriformes; Ictaluridae.